This 1440-nucleotide ribosomal RNA is filed under the name Lactiplantibacillus plantarum. Its description in RNAcentral is "bacterial SSU rRNA". It matches the Rfam family "Bacterial small subunit ribosomal RNA". The record is from RNAcentral. Lineage: Bacteria; Bacillati; Bacillota; Bacilli; Lactobacillales; Lactobacillaceae.
ACAUGCAAGUCGAACGAACUCUGGUAUUGAUUGGUGCUUGCAUCAUGAUUUACAUUUGAGUGAGUGGCGAACUGGUGAGUAACACGUGGGAAACCUGCCCAGAAGCGGGGGAUAACACCUGGAAACAGAUGCUAAUACCGCAUAACAACUUGGACCGCAUGGUCCGAGUUUGAAAGAUGGCUUCGGCUAUCACUUUUGGAUGGUCCCGCGGCGUAUUAGCUAGAUGGUGAGGUAACGGCUCACCAUGGCAAUGAUACGUAGCCGACCUGAGAGGGUAAUCGGCCACAUUGGGACUGAGACACGGCCCAAACUCCUACGGGAGGCAGCAGUAGGGAAUCUUCCACAAUGGACGAAAGUCUGAUGGAGCAACGCCGCGUGAGUGAAGAAGGGUUUCGGCUCGUAAAACUCUGUUGUUAAAGAAGAACAUAUCUGAGAGUAACUGUUCAGGUAUUGACGGUAUUUAACCAGAAAGCCACGGCUAACUACGUGCCAGCAGCCGCGGUAAUACGUAGGUGGCAAGCGUUGUCCGGAUUUAUUGGGCGUAAAGCGAGCGCAGGCGGUUUUUUAAGUCUGAUGUGAAAGCCUUCGGCUCAACCGAAGAAGUGCAUCGGAAACUGGGAAACUUGAGUGCAGAAGAGGACAGUGGAACUCCAUGUGUAGCGGUGAAAUGCGUAGAUAUAUGGAAGAACACCAGUGGCGAAGGCGGCUGUCUGGUCUGUAACUGACGCUGAGGCUCGAAAGUAUGGGUAGCAAACAGGAUUAGAUACCCUGGUAGUCCAUACCGUAAACGAUGAAUGCUAAGUGUUGGAGGGUUUCCGCCCUUCAGUGCUGCAGCUAACGCAUUAAGCAUUCCGCCUGGGGAGUACGGCCGCAAGGCUGAAACUCAAAGGAAUUGACGGGGGCCCGCACAAGCGGUGGAGCAUGUGGUUUAAUUCGAAGCUACGCGAAGAACCUUACCAGGUCUUGACAUACUAUGCAAAUCUAAGAGAUUAGACGUUCCCUUCGGGGACAUGGAUACAGGUGGUGCAUGGUUGUCGUCAGCUCGUGUCGUGAGAUGUUGGGUUAAGUCCCGCAACGAGCGCAACCCUUAUUAUCAGUUGCCAGCAUUAAGUUGGGCACUCUGGUGAGACUGCCGGUGACAAACCGGAGGAAGGUGGGGAUGACGUCAAAUCAUCAUGCCCCUUAUGACCUGGGCUACACACGUGCUACAAUGGAUGGUACAACGAGUUGCGAACUCGCGAGAGUAAGCUAAUCUCUUAAAGCCAUUCUCAGUUCGGAUUGUAGGCUGCAACUCGCCUACAUGAAGUCGGAAUCGCUAGUAAUCGCGGAUCAGCAUGCCGCGGUGAAUACGUUCCCGGGCCUUGUACACACCGCCCGUCACACCAUGAGAGUUUGUAACACCCAAAGUCGGUGGGGUAACCUUUUAGGAACCAGCCGCCU